RNAcentral lists this small nuclear RNA (322 nucleotides) under Chelonoidis abingdonii (Abingdon island giant tortoise). Its description in RNAcentral is "7SK RNA (ENSCABG00000013534.1)". It matches the Rfam family "7SK RNA". From Rfam's summary of the family: 7SK was discovered as an abundant small nuclear RNA in the mid-70s but a possible function has only recently been suggested. Two independent studies have found that 7SK RNA binds the CDK9/cyclin T complex (known as elongation factor P-TEFb). P-TEFb activates transcription by phosphorylating the C-terminal domain of RNA polymerase II. The record is from Rfam by way of RNAcentral. Lineage: Eukaryota; Metazoa; Chordata; Testudines; Testudinidae.
AAACAUCAAAUAUACUGCGACAUCUGUCAUUCCAUUGACUGCCAGGGUUGAUUCGGCUGAUCUGGCUGGCUAGGUGGGUGUCCCCUUCCUCCCUCACUGCUCCAUGUGCAUCCCUCCCAAAGCUGCGUGCUCUGUCGAAGAGGACGACCCUCCAGAUAGAGGAGUACCGUUCUUUGGUUAACGGUUUAUGGUAGCUGCGCUCUGUUGCUAGAACCUCCAAACUUCUGUUUCUUGAGUUUCUGCCUGGAUCCCUGCUUAUCUGCAACCUAGACAGUUACUGUUUCUGCAGUUCCAAUACUAAACUAUUUCAUAAUUAGCCAUU